UGCGUAGGCGGACUAGUAAGUCAGUGGUGAAAUCUUUCGGCUCAACCGAGAAACUGCCAUUGAUACUGUUAGUCUUGAGUUCGGUAGAGGUAGGCGGAAUGUGUAAUGUAGCGGUGAAAUGCUUAGAUAUUACACAGAACACCAAUUGCGUAGGCAGCUUACUAUGCCGACACUGACGCUGAGGCACGAAAGCGUGGGGAGCGAACAGGAUUAGAUACCCUGGUAGUCC
RNAcentral lists this ribosomal RNA (229 nucleotides) under uncultured bacterium. Its description in RNAcentral is "partial 16S ribosomal RNA". It matches the Rfam family "Bacterial small subunit ribosomal RNA", at positions 568 to 796 of the family's 1533-position model. The record is from RNAcentral.